This 502-nucleotide ribosomal RNA is filed under the name uncultured bacterium. RNAcentral describes it as "partial 16S ribosomal RNA". It matches the Rfam family "Bacterial small subunit ribosomal RNA", at positions 29 to 523 of the family's 1533-position model. The record is from RNAcentral.
AUUGAACGCUGGCGGCAUGCCUUACACAUGCAAGUCGAACGGCAGCGCGGGAGCUUGCUCCUGGCGGCGAGUGGCGAACGGGUGAGUAAUACAUCGGAACGUACCCAGAAGUGGGGGAUAACGUAGCGAAAGUUACGCUAAUACCGCAUAUUCUGUGAGCAGGAAAGUGGGGGAUCGCAAGACCUCACGCUUUUGGAGCGGCCGAUGUCGGAUUAGCUAGUUGGUGAGGUAAAGGCUCACCAAGGCGACGAUCCGUAGCGGGUCUGAGAGGAUGAGCCGGCACACUGGGACUGAGACACGGCCCAGACUCCUACGGGAGGCAGCAGGGGGGAAUUGUGGACAAUGGGGGCAACCCUGAUCCAGCCAUGCCGCGUGAGUGAAGAAGGCCUUCGGGUUGUAAAGCGCUUUCGCGAGGGAAGAAAGCGCACUGGUUAAUACCUGGUGUGGAUGACGGUACCUUGAUAAGAAGCACCGGCUAACUACGUGCCAGCCGCCGCCGUAA